This 648-nucleotide ribosomal RNA is filed under the name Triticum aestivum (bread wheat). Its description in RNAcentral is "partial small subunit ribosomal RNA". The record is from RNAcentral. Lineage: Eukaryota; Viridiplantae; Streptophyta; Magnoliopsida; Poales; Poaceae.
AUGCACAUUUGUUAUGCUCAAGAUUCUAACACUGUCACCGAUCUCAAGUGUAUUGAACUUCCACUAGAGAUUGUGCAAGUGUUGUUAGAUUAUGAGGAUGUAUUCCUGGAGCCGACCGGAUUGCCACCAUGGCGCGAAUGUGAUCACACCAUCCCAUUGAUGCAAGGCGCCCAGCCGGUCAACAUACGAGCGUACAGACACAAGCCAGAAUUGAAGACAGAAGUGGAAAGGCAAGUCGCGGAAAUGUUGAAGGCUGGUAUCAUUCAAAAGAGCAGCAGCCCAUUCUCCUCUCCUAUUAUUUUGGUCAAGAAGAAGGACGGUACCUGGUGCAUGUGCGUUGAUUAUCGGAGGCUGAAUGCGAUGACUAUCAUCAGCAAGUACCCCGUGCCUGUCAUUGAGGAUAUUUUGGAUGAGCUGGCAGGGGCGUGUUGGUUCUCCAAGCUUGAUUUGCGCUCCAGCUAUCACCAAAUCAGAUUAGCAGAAGGGGAGGAAUAUAAAACUGUAUUUCAAACACACUCGGGCCGUUUCGAAUUCAAAGUGGUGCCAUUUGGUCUCGGGGGAGCACCUCCAACAUUUCUGGGGGCUAUGAAUGUGACACUGCAUCCAGUCCUACGGGUCCGCGCAAUGGUUUUUUCGAUGAUAUCCUAG